UAACCCUAAUUCUCUAUCCUUGUUUGGCGGCAGCCCUCUAUAUCGAGACCCCCACCCUCCUCGACUCUUGUGACCUUGAAACUCCCAAUCAGGGCUUGGUUGACCAACUUGGAACGGGUAAAUUAACAUAACCUACCGAGAAAACCAAAGGUCGUUAGGUACUUGGGAACAGGAACUUGCUGGCUGGAGUGCGUGAGUGGUCAUGGUUGCA
This is a long non-coding RNA of Helianthus annuus (common sunflower), 211 nucleotides long. RefSeq lists it as uncharacterized. The record is from RefSeq and is a predicted model, not a curated record. The transcript has 3 exons. NCBI's taxonomy places the organism in Eukaryota, Viridiplantae, Streptophyta, Magnoliopsida, Asterales, Asteraceae.